This 242-nucleotide ribosomal RNA is filed under the name uncultured bacterium. RNAcentral's name for it is "partial 16S ribosomal RNA". It matches the Rfam family "Bacterial small subunit ribosomal RNA", at positions 335 to 595 of the family's 1533-position model. The record is from RNAcentral.
ACCCUACGGGACGCAGCAGUGGGGAAUAUUGCACAAUGGGGGGAACCCUGAUGCAGCGACGCCGCGUGAGUGAAGAAGUAUUUCGGUAUGUAAAGCUCUAUCAGCAGGGAAGAAAAUGACGGUACCUGACUAAGAAGCCCCGGCUAACUACGUGCCAGCAGCCGCGGUAAUACGUAGGGGGCAAGCGUUAUCCGGAUUUACUGGGGGUAAAGGGAGCGUAGAAGGCGGAACAAGUCAGAAGU